Molecule: long non-coding RNA, 2352 nt
Organism: Esox lucius (northern pike)
Lineage: Eukaryota; Metazoa; Chordata; Actinopteri; Esociformes; Esocidae
Source: Ensembl
UCCCAGUGGGACGGGACCGGAACACCUUCCCAGGAAGGCGUUCCAGAGGCAUUAGAAACAGGUGCCCAAGCCACCUCAGCUGACCCCUCUCGAUGUGGCGGAGCAGCGACUCUACUUUGAGCUCCUCCCGGGAGACCAAGCUUCUCACCCUAUCUCUAAGGGAUCACCCAGCCACCCUGCGGAGAAAGCUCAUUUCGGCCACCUGUAUCCGGGAUCUUGUCCUUUCGGUCAUGACCCAAAGCUCAUGACCAUAGGUGAGAGUAGGAACGUAGAUUGACCGGUAAAUCAAGAGCUUCGCCUUGCGGCUCAGCUCUUUCUUCACCACGACCAAACCGAUACAUCGACCGCAUUACUGCAGAAGCUGCACCGAUCCGUCUGUCAAUCUCCCGUUCCAUCCUUCCCUCACUCGUGAACAAGACCCCUAGAUACUUAAACUCCUCCACUUGAGGCAGGCACUCUCCACCAACCUGAAGUGGGCAAGCCACCCUUUUCCGACAGGACCAUGGCCUCGGAUUUGGAGGUACUGAUUCUCAUCCCCACCGCUUCACACUCGGCUGCAAACCGUCCCAGUGCAUGCUGAAGGUCCUGGUUUGUGCUAUAUAAAUAAAACAUGCUUGCUUGCUUUAACCCAAGUCAAUAAGUUCCAAUUUACUCCCAACAAUAGCUUCCAUCACAAGGCCCUACAGAAUAAGUUUAUUCUAAUAAGUGGUUGGGUUUUUUAAAUAAGCAGUAAUUCAGUUAUUCAUCUUUUAUUAAAUAUUACAUGAAGAAAUACUACCUUAGAAGAAAAAAUGACAUUCUGUUACAAUAAUGUUUAUUUAAAAUUCAAAAGCAUGAUUGACACGUCUGUGCCUUCAGCUUUUAUGAUAAGGCUAUCUUGCAUUCCAUUGUGCAUUCCACGGGAACCCUCCGCAAGCGGAGGCAGAAGCUCCUCGCCGAACCCCUCCGCACAUUGUUGCCAAAUCCUCAGUAAGGCAAGUCGCUAUUGGCUGUCCUAAAAGUCGCUAGAAGUCGCAAAAUGACGUCAUUGCCUAAUUUGCAUAAUUUCCCAUCAGCAAUGAUUUAUUUUAGACAAAGAACAUUUAAAUUUUACAUUACGGCCAGGAAAAGCCAGCGGGGGCUUCCCGCAUGCGCGAUUCAUUUUCAGUCUGGACGCGGAGGAGUUAACAUCUCCUGCUCUGACUGCAGCUCAGAGGAACAGCUGUGCGAGGACUGGGCCACCUGUGAGUGCUUUCAGAUAGGGGAGGGGCCCACGGCGGCACCCGCUGCUCGCUGAGAAGAGUAAGAACAAGUCUCCAAUAACACCACAAAAAGUUGCUAAGGGGGUCUGAAAAGUCGCUAAAUCUAGAUCCUCCUCGGACACCUCUGCAGGCGGAGGCAGAAGCUCCUGGCCGAACCCCUCCACAGAUGGAGGCAGAAGAUCCUCGCUGAACCCCUCUGUGGGCUCCUCGCUGGACACCUCCGCAGGCGGAGGCAGAAGAUCCUCGCUGAACCCCUCCGUGGGCUCCUCGCCGGACACCUCUGCUGGCGGAGGCAGAAGCUCCUCGCUGAACACCUCCAUGGGCUCCUCGCCGGACACCUCUGCAGGUGGAGGCAGAAGAUCCUCGCUGAACCCCUCCGUGGACUCCUCGCUGGACACCUCCGCAGGCGGAGGCAGAAGAUCCUCGCUGAACCCCUCCGUGGGCUCCUCGCCGGACACCUCUGCAGGCGGAGGCAGAAGCUCCUCGCUGAACACCUCCAUGCACUCCUCGCCGGACACCUCUGCAGGUGGAGGCAGAAGCUCCUCGCUGAACACCUCCGUGGGCUCCUCGCCGGACACCUUCGCGGGCCAAGACAGAGGCAGAAGCUUACCUGGACAAGUGGGGCCUGCCUCAAAGACAUAUUGACGUCGCCAUCAACUUUACAGUUUGAUAUUCCUGAUGAGAAGCUCCUCCCCGGACACCUCCAUGGGCGGAGGCAGAAGCUCCUCGCCAAACACCUCAGAGGGCCGAGACAGACACUCCUCGCAGAACCCCUCCGCGGGCAGAGGCAGAAGCUCCUCGCCGUACCCCUCCGCAGGGUUAGGCGAGGCACAGGGGAAACCAAACAGAACAUAGAAACAGACAAAUUAGAACUAAAAUGAAUAUAACAUAAGAACGUAACGAAACAGCCGGCACGGCACCGGUGACAUCGCUGAACCCCUCCGCGGGCAGAGGCAGAAACUCCUCCGAAACCUUCCGCGGUUGGAGGCAGAAGCUCCUCCCCAGACUCCCCCACGGGUAGAGGCAGUGGCAUACCUGUAUAAAACACAUAUUGAUGUCUCCAAGAACUUUACAGUUUGAUAAUCCUUAGAGUUUGACUAUGUACUAUGUA